Hevea brasiliensis (rubber tree) is the source of this 576-nucleotide long non-coding RNA. RefSeq lists it as uncharacterized. The transcript is spliced from 2 exons. Lineage: Eukaryota; Viridiplantae; Streptophyta; Magnoliopsida; Malpighiales; Euphorbiaceae. The record is from RefSeq and is a predicted model, not a curated record.
CAAAACUACUUUGAGUGAAACCAUGGGCUGCAAAGCUGUUUCUUGAAACCAGAAUAAUACAAUUUCCAUUACUUAUCUGCUCUAUAUAAGUGAUCACACCCUGCCUAAAUUUAGCGGUGGGCACAAUUCAAUUCCGUGGAGAUAGCUAAGCUGAUAUGGAAUGGGAGAAUAAGCCUCCCAGAGGCGAGUGGAAAUGGGUGGAUGGGAGUGAACUUAAACCAGUCUGUGAUUGAGGUCGUUCCCAUGCCACCCAUUUCUAUUGUUUCUGGGCGUUUCUCCCUUUCCCAUCGAGCUUAUGUAUAUGUUCAAUAAGAGUAGUGCCCAUUUUCUAGGUGUAAAUUUGGAUAACACUAUUUCCGCAUUGACAGAGACCGAGUACCAGCGAGUAAACGGUGAUAGCUGUGGCCUCUGAAUUUCUUUCUGGUCAUGGCUUAAAUUUCAGCUCAACGAAUACGUUGGUGAAAGACUUGUGCUUUGGUUCUGGACCUUACAAGUGCGGUAGAUUUGGUGGCUAUGGGUAUAUUUUUUAUUGGAAUGAAUUCCAUAAAGUUUAGUAAAUUUUAAUUAAAUUUUACA